RNAcentral lists this ribosomal RNA (52 nucleotides) under uncultured bacterium. RNAcentral's name for it is "partial 16S ribosomal RNA". The record is from RNAcentral.
GGACUAACCGCAAGGGGUGUAGGCGUCUAAGGUAUGGUCAGUGAUUGGGGUG